AGGAAGGCCGAGUCCGAGGCGGGGCGGGGGGGCGGGCUGGAGGCCCGACGCUGCCCCGCCACGCGGGCGCCUGGAAGCCGGUUAUCUGCUCGCUAGGUUAACGGCAGCCGCCAAGGCCUCUACCCCUCGAGGUCACCUCUCCUCUAGGCUGCCGGCCAGGGCGUCCUCGUCCCUAACCCCAAGCCGAGGUCCGCGAGCGUCGUGGGACGCUUGCGGCCGGAGGCGCAUCCUGCGACCCCCGGGGAUGCCGAGUGGGCCUCCGGAGCGUGGCCAUCCCGAGAGACGCCCUUCUGCCCAGAGUCCCCGGCUGGACGCGAGCCCCCCGGAUGCGCCCUGCCGCCGCCUCCGCGGUGACCUUGUCUCUGCGUCAGUGUCGCGGAGAAACAGCGACAGACCCGCUGGAGAUGUGACAGCAGAGGAAGGCCUUUGAUAGCAAGCAAACCCCUGCCUCUGGGAGAGUCCAGCUUUCGCCCGGCUGAACGCCGGGGCUUCCAGAGGAGCGGUUCUGUCCCGUAGAGCAGUCACCUGUUGUCAACCGGGAGCCCAUUCUUGCGUGCUCGGAACAGGCGAAGUUGUAAGGCGGAGUACGCGCUCAAAAAGGCGGGGCUUUUAGCCUAAAAGCAAGCCUCUUUACGUUUAGAAAAGACGAAUUUCCCACAAUGACCUACCACCCACCUCGUGGCGCUCAGGAGUGCGGCUCGCUGGAGACCGCGGUGGAGGACGCUACUUGAAAAGUUGCUGAGGAAAGGGGACAAAAGCAUUUGUCAACGUAGGGCAGGUAGAGAAGGGAAGCUUUGUGAAAUAUUAGACGCCCAGCAGAGCGGAAGAAAACCUUGGACUCUUCAGUGCUAGAUUUUUGCCACCCUGAACUACUUGCAGCUUUAAUGCAUGCUAGCAGAGAUAAGAAAGUAAAAACCCGGUAUGUAGACGAGAGGCUGGCCAGCCCUGGUGGUCUGGUGGUUAAGAUUCAGUGCUUUUGUCACCAUGGCCUGGAUUCAUUUCCCGUCAGGGAACCAUACCACCCGUUGAAUCACGCCAUACAUCUGUUGGUUGUCAUACUAUGGCAGCUGCUUAUUGCUGUGAUGCUGAAAGCUUUGCCACCAGGAUUCACAUACCAGCACGGUCACCCAUGGUGCACAGGUUUCAGUGGAGUUUCCAGACCAGACAGACUAGGAAGGAGGACCUGGCCACCCACUUCCAAAGAAAUUGGCCGUGAAAACCCUAUGAAUAACAGCAGAACCUUGUCUGAUAUAGGGCCAGAAGGAGAGAGGAUGGCACAAAAAGACAGGGCAGGGUUCCGCUAGGAGUCAGAAUCGAUUGGAUGGCACUAACAACAAAGAUGAGAUGCCAGAGGAACACCAGCGUGGUAAAGAUGUCAAUAAUAAUUCAUAGAGUGUAAGAACUGCUUUUUAAGUACUUUAUUAAUCAUUUUAAUUAUUAAGAAGAAAUUUGAAAUUAGUCCCAGAAUUAAGUCCAAUGACUAUUAUAUAAGGCCCUUCAAAACAAUCACGCCCCACUUUACAAGAGAUUAGAAGGUUACUGGAUUAAAAUAAAACAGCACCUCCUAUGACGAGGAGGGUUCAUUCUAGCAACUGUUUGGGACAGGGACUAAAUUCUGAAGACUAAAUUCCAUUACUUUGAAAUGGCAGCUGUCAAAUCUCAGUUGUGCACAUGAUUGUUAGAAAAAGGCGAAAUCAAGGUGAGCCAAACUGAAAACACAUGUCGAGAGCUAGGUAAAAAGCAUCAGGUUGGAUUGACUCAUGAUGAGAUGGGCAACUGAUCGAUCAGACCAAAAAGAGGAAACGCAAGACCGUUAACACGGAGCAGGGAGUGUCAGUGCUUUAAGGGGGUCGGGUGCUCUGGAAUCCUAAAUCAGGUUGUUGGAAAGGGGGUUAGGGGUGGAGAGAAGGAGAGAAUGGGAGGGAAAAGGUAAGAGGGUAGAAGGCUGUAUACACACACACACACACACACAUACACACAGUUGGCCUUCCCUAUCCGUGGGUUCCUCAUUGGUGGAUUCAACUGAUGCAGAUGGAAAGGUCUGUUAUAGUUGCAUCUGUACUGAACACAUACAGACUUUUUUUCCUUGUCCUUAUUCCCUAAACAAUACAGUAAAACAACUAUUUACAUAGCAUUUACAUUUUAUUAGGUAUUAUAAGUAGUCUAGUGGUGAUUUAAAGUAUAUGGGAGGAUGUGUGUGGGUUAUAUGCAAAUACUAUGCCAUUUUAUAGAAGGGACUUGAGCAUACCUGGUAUACUUGAGCAUACUUUUGGUAUCUGCGGGGGUCCUAGAACCAAUCUCUGGUGGGUAUCAAGGGACAACUGUACGUAUGUGUAUAUAUCCACCCAGCCCCCUUCAAGCCCAUAAGAACUACAGCAAGAGAGAAGCCAGGCAUGAGGAAAAGAGAGAGAUUGUCAUUAUCAAUAUAUUUCAUAUUGGAAAAGGGCUCUGCCAUUUUUUUGCUCUGUGACUUUAGCCUCCCUCUCAGCCCACUUUUCUUUAGCUGUAGAAGAGAGAUCAUAAUAGCGACCGCAUAAGGUAUUUUCAAAGAAUAAAUUAAUAAAAAUGUAAAGGCUUUGGUACAGUAUUUUCAAAGAAUAAAUUAAUAAAGAUGUAAAGGCUUUGGUACAGUAUGUAACACUAAGCGCUCAAUAAAUAUUAGCUAUCAUUACUUUAUUAGCCAGUUUAUAUCAUAUUCAUAAUAUAGUAGAAGAGGUAGUAGACACAUUUAGAAAUCAUCUAGGAAAGUUUAACCCCCGAGUACAUGUACUUCUUACAUUUUGAACUUAACGACAUGUAAAAAUCCUAUCCACGAGAGCCAGUUGUACACCACCAAAUGUAACGGCCCUUCAGUCUGAUGAAGAUUCUCAUCUUGACCAAACUCUAGCCAGGCUCCUCUGAGCCCUUUUCUCACCUUGACCUUUAAAGACUGGAACGAAGGGCAAACAUAGUUUCUAAUACCUCAAGGCCGCAUCCCUAGGAUGACCCUAGCCCCCUUAGAGUGCCUGCCUGAGCAAACUCAAAGCUGCCAGAAGAAUCUGCAGCUUGUUCCAGCCAACACCUAAAGAAAGGGCCCGUCUCCCAGUUGCUGUGGGAGGGUAGGAGCUUCGAUAAGCAACAGUUAACAAACCCAAUGGGUUUCACAUGGCCCAACCCUGACUUCGCACUUUUUAUAAUUGAUCACUUCCCUGACUCUGCCGCACCCCAUUCACCCCCCUCCCUAUUCUUGCAUUCUCCCUUUAAAAAGCCCAAUCACUUCUCUAUAAAUCAAAGUUGAGUUCAGUUCAUGCGGGACUCUUUUCCCUAUUGCAAUAGUAUAUACAGUAGUCUCCCAUUAUCUGCAGUUUCAGUUACCCAAGGUCAACCAUGGUCUGAAAAUAUUAAAUGGAAAAUUCCAGAAAUAAACAACUCAUGUUUUAAAUUGCAUGCCAUUCUGAGUAGGGUGAUGAAGUCUUGUGCAAUCUCGUGCCGUCUUGCUCCAUCCCCUGCCCAGGACAUGAAUCAUCUCUUUGUCCAGCAUAUUCAUGCUGUAUAUGCUACUAACUUGUUAGUCACCUAGUAGCCAUCUGGGUCAUCAGACCAAUCGUUGUCGUAUCGCAGUGCUUGUGUUCAAGUAACCCUUAUUUUACUUAAUGGGCCCAAAGUACAAGAAUAUUGAUGGUGGCAAUUUCGCUAUGUGAAAGAGCAGCCAUAAAGUGCUUCCCUUAAGUGAAAAAGUGAAAGUUCUCAACUUAACAAGGAAAGGAAAAAAAUCACAUGCUGACGUUGCUAAAAUCUACUGUAACUCUUAUUACAGUAUAUGGUUAUAAUUGUUCUAUUUUGUUAUUAGUUGUUAAUCUCUUACUAUGCCUAAUUUACAAAUUAAACUUUAUCAUAGGUAUAUAUCUAUAGGAAAACACAUAUAUUAGGUUCGGUACUAUUCGUGGUUUCAGGCAUCCACUGGGGGCCUUGGAACGCAUCCCCGCAGAUAAGGGAUAAGGAGGGACUACUGUAUUUGAUUAAAUUCUGUUCUUACCACUUUCA
Long non-coding RNA from Equus caballus (horse), 4023 nucleotides. RefSeq lists it as uncharacterized. The record is from RefSeq and is a predicted model, not a curated record. Lineage: Eukaryota; Metazoa; Chordata; Mammalia; Perissodactyla; Equidae.